GAAUAUGGAAGCAAAGCUUUCGAUUGUGUCUAGCCAUGGUUGCAUGGAAGUCCAAAAUGGAAUAUCAUUAGGAGAUACACCACCGAGCUCUUACAGAAAUCGAAGAUCUACCAGAAGUGCAAAUUCGCAUUUACUCUUAGGAUGCAAGAAGUAUAAUAUUCCAAAUUAAUUGGAGAGUCAACAAGUGCUUUCAAAGUCAUUCGAUAAAGUUCAUUUUGGUGUUUAAAUCCUAGUUUAACUAUUCUAUGCUUUCUUCAUUUCAAUUGCACCAAAAUUGCUGAUUGAAAGUCCAAUUUUGAAACAGAGUAAAAAUUUGAAAUUUCGCUCUUUUUCAUAAAUUUAUAUCAGGAUAAGUAUAAUAUAAUUUUGCCGACAGACAGAAGCCCAUACAACAUAAUAAUGGCGGAGGUUCUUUCGGCAGCCGGUCGGUGUCGGUCGGUGUCGGUAUGCCGUAUCAUUAUGCAAUACUGCGGACAGAGAAGGACAAAUAUAUUAUGUGCGAUUGCGCUCGAGCACUAUUUCGCACUCUAUUCCACGCAUAGGAUUAAUGCGCAAGACAAGGACAAAGAUACGAUGCGUAGACGCCGGCACGCGUGUCGAGCGGUGGGGAUUGGCGUGCAUCGACAGCAUCGACAGCACUUGGCCUUCGACUGCGGCGGUGUACGGCUAGAAGGGUCUCGGCGAAGUGGACUCGACCGGAUUGUUUCUUCAGUAUGUUCAGUGAGUGAAUUGAAUUCUGUAUCGAAGCUGCGAUUCCGAUAACCGAUUACGUUUAGUACAUAUUGAGUUACAACAAUUAGGUAGUCCAGACAAGAUGUUGCAGUCCAUUUCACAGGAGAAAUUAAAAUUGAUGCAGUCUAAUUUACGUGAGGCAUUGAACCUGAUGCAAUACAGUUUACAGGAG
Molecule: long non-coding RNA, 904 nt
Organism: Ctenocephalides felis (cat flea)
Lineage: Eukaryota; Metazoa; Arthropoda; Insecta; Siphonaptera; Pulicidae
Exons: 5
Source: RefSeq, a predicted model, not a curated record